RNAcentral lists this ribosomal RNA (303 nucleotides) under Triticum aestivum (bread wheat). Its description in RNAcentral is "partial small subunit ribosomal RNA". The record is from RNAcentral. Lineage: Eukaryota; Viridiplantae; Streptophyta; Magnoliopsida; Poales; Poaceae.
AUGAAACCCAAAUCUUCAAGGGGGAUUGGAUCAGAUCCUCAAAGCGGAAUCUUUGGGGCUGAUGACGGUUGUUGGAAGAAUCACAUUGCAAGAAACCCAGAUUCAGGACAGCAAAUGUCACCGGUGAAUCAUCCAUUGACCCUGGAGAGGAUUUGGGAAGAAGACAUGGAGGAUGAUACUCCAGCCAGUAUUAACGACGGGUCAGACGACGGCUAUGUGCUUGCUGCAUCUGCUGAGGCAUCCUCUUGCAACAAGGCUCCUCCUACCACGUUUCUGAGCCUCAAGGAAGACUCGAUUACAUGA